ACAUCUAGUAAACUAGAAGCUAAGAAAAUUUGUUAAUUUUGUCCAAUCCAGCUUGCCAACGCCUGCAAUUCCUGCCUCGGAUAUGGAUUGACAGGGCUAUUUCUCUGCACAGUUGAGAUUCAUCAAAUGCUUUCCUAUUAAAUCUGAUGUUGUUUCUUUCUCGCCAGAUAAGAGCAACAGUGUUGAUGAAGGCACAUGCUGUUAUACUAUUAAGUGCCACUCUACUCUUUGCCUUGCUACACACCCACAACA
Molecule: long non-coding RNA, 252 nt
Filed under: Nicotiana benthamiana
Lineage: Eukaryota; Viridiplantae; Streptophyta; Magnoliopsida; Solanales; Solanaceae
Description: long non-coding RNA (NBEN_LNC008723)
Source: RNAcentral